UGGGAAUGGAGCAUUGCUAUCAAUUUCGCGAACGAUAUGCGUGUAAGAAUUGUCAUUUUUGCUUUGGCUUUCGACCCCAACGUUUUGAUGGACUAAGGUUACCCUAUGUCAUUACUGUGUGUUUGAUGCUUUUUUGUUGCCUCUUGAUGUUGUCGUCUUGCCAAUUGUUGGUAAGGUGUUCGUCUUCUCGCAUGAGGAACUUGUCCACCUGUGAAGCAGCCUGCCGGCCCUCUGAGAUGGCCCAGACCACUAGAGACUGGCCACGCCGGCAGUCCCCUGCUGCAAAGACCCCUUCCACGCUGGUUGCAAAGCGGCCAUAAUCUGCCUUUAAGUUUGAUCGGUUGUCUCGCUCCAACCCCAGCUUCUCU
Molecule: long non-coding RNA, 368 nt
Filed under: Vitis vinifera (wine grape)
Lineage: Eukaryota; Viridiplantae; Streptophyta; Magnoliopsida; Vitales; Vitaceae
Description: long non-coding RNA (VVIN_LNC005573)
Source: RNAcentral